Molecule: transfer RNA, 70 nt
Filed under: Caudoviricetes sp.
Lineage: Duplodnaviria; Heunggongvirae; Uroviricota; Caudoviricetes
Description: tRNA-Ile
Source: RNAcentral
UAGUUCAGAAGUGUAGAGCGCUGGCCUAAUCGGUUUGAGGUCACUGGUUCAAAUCCAGUAUGCGCCGCCA